AACGCACCUUGCGCUCCUUGGUAUUCCGAGGAGCAUGCCUGUUUGAGUGUCAUUAAUUUCUCAACCUCACCUGGUUUUCGAACCUGUGUGAUGGCUUGGACUUGGGAGUUUUGCAGGCUGCAGUCUACUGCGGUUCUGCUCUCCUUAAAUGUAUUAGCAGGUCUUUUACCUCUAUCCCAACGGUGUGAUAAUCUAUCUACGCUGCUGGUUUGGAGACCCUUCACUGGGGGACUGGCUUCUAACCGUCCGCAAGGACAAUAUGACCAAUCUUGACCUCAAAUCAGGUAGGACUACCCGCUGAACUUAA
RNAcentral lists this unclassified non-coding RNA (307 nucleotides) under uncultured fungus. RNAcentral describes it as "partial contains 5.8S ribosomal RNA, internal transcribed spacer 2, and large subunit ribosomal RNA". The stretch from base 1 to 52 matches the Rfam family "5.8S ribosomal RNA", at positions 103 to 154 of the family's 154-position model. The record is from RNAcentral. Lineage: Eukaryota; Fungi. RNAcentral also lists the same sequence under 1 other name.